This 276-nucleotide ribosomal RNA is filed under the name uncultured bacterium. RNAcentral describes it as "partial 16S ribosomal RNA". It matches the Rfam family "Bacterial small subunit ribosomal RNA", at positions 399 to 691 of the family's 1533-position model. The record is from RNAcentral.
GCGUGAGUGAUGAAGGCCUUAGGGUUGUAAAGCCCUUUUGCACGCGACGAUGAUGACGGUAGCGUGAGAAGAAGCCCCGGCUAACUUCGUGCCAGCAGCCGCGGUAAUACGAAGGGGGCGAGCGUUGUUCGGAAUUACUGGGCGUAAAGGGCGCGCAGGCGGCCUCUCGAAGUCAGAUGUGAAAGCCCCGGGCUCAACCUGGGAAUGGCAUUUGAUACUCGAGGGCUUGAGUACGGGAGAGGAGAGUGGAAUUCCCAGUGUAGAGGUGAAAUUCGU